This 497-nucleotide ribosomal RNA is filed under the name uncultured bacterium. RNAcentral's name for it is "partial 16S ribosomal RNA". It matches the Rfam family "Bacterial small subunit ribosomal RNA", at positions 28 to 507 of the family's 1533-position model. The record is from RNAcentral.
GAUGAACGCUGGCGGCGUGCCUAAUACAUGCAAGUCGAGCGAACGGACGAGAAGCUUGCUUCUCUGAUGUUAGCGGCGGACGGGUGAGUAACACGUGGAUAACCUACCUAUAAGACUGGGAUAACUUCGGGAAACCGGAGCUAAUACCGGAUGAUAUUUUGAACCGCAUGGUUCAAAAGUGAAAGACGGUCUUGCUGUCACUUAUAGAUGGAUCCGCGCUGCAUUAGCUAGUUGGUAAGGUAACGGCUUACCAAGGCAACGAUGCAUAGCCGACCUGAGAGGGUGGUCGGCCACACUGGAACUGAGACACGGUCCAGACUCCUACGGGAGGCAGCAGUAGGGAAUCUUCCGCAAUGGGCGAAAGCCUGACGGAGCAACGCCGCGUGAGUGAUGAAGGUCUUCGGAUCGUAAAACUCUGUUAUUAGGGAAGAACAUAUGUGUAAGUAGCUGUGCACAUCUUGACGGUACCUAAUCAGAAAGCCACGGCUAACUACGUG